UAUGUGAUUGAUAAGAUGUGAAAUAGAAAAUACAAAAAGAAAACCAUAAACAAAACAAAACAAAACAGAGAGAGAGAGAGAGAGGAGUCCAUCAGCAGAAAGCUAAACCCCCAAUAGUCCAAUACCUUCCUUCCAAGACAUUCAAAGCACUUCCCACAAGCACUAGCACAAGCAGUAGAAGAAGAAGAAGAAGAAGUAGAACCCAAGAAUUCUAUCUCUGUUUCUUGCUUUCCAUUCACUCAUAUAGUUUACAGAAGGCAAAAGAAAGAUUGAAUCUUUUUUCCAAUGCUGGAAAUGGAUGGCUCUUCUAAACCUCCCCAAAUCUCUGAGAUGUUUUCCAAAUUCGCUCUCGCUUUCAAAACCAAAACCUUUGAGUUCUUCGCCGAGGAGGAAGAAGACCCUGACAGCUUAUCUCUGCUCGACUCCGCCGAAGAAAUCAUCACCGACCAGAAGGUCGUCGUCAUCAAACCCGACGGAGCACGCAGUCCGACCUCGCCGGAGCUCCGAAUAAUACCGACGAAGCCCAAUUUGGGCGAGACCCAGGUCCAAAGCCCAGAGCUUUCGACGAUUACAAGGUCUCUGAGCAAAACCCAGAUCAGACCCAUCAAUAUUCCGAUGACCCAGACUCUGAUUUCGUCGGUCUUCGCCACAGUUUCGUCUUUCGAAGCUUCCUACCUCCAGUUACAGACGGCUCAUGUGCCCUUUGUGGAAGAAAACGUGACGUCAGCGGACCGAGCUCUGGUCUCUCACCUUCAGAGGCUCUCGGAGUUCAAGCAGUUUUUCAGGGAUUUUUGUGGAAGUUCGGAUAUCGGGUCGGGUUUUGGAGUCGGGUCUUGCUUGGAGGCCCAGGUGCAAGAGAAUCAGAGCAAGCUCAGGACUCUGGGGACCAUGUCAAAUAGGUUGCAGACAGAGAUUGAUCACAAAGACAAUGAAGUUGUGGCCCUGAGGAAAAAACUGGGUGAGAUUCAGAAAUCUAACUUUAGACUAUCUCAGAGGUUAUCUGGAACUUUGAAUUCUUCUUCUUGUGAGGUUUUGUUGUCAAUUAGAGUAUUUGAUUCGGUUCUACAUGAUGCUUGUAGAUUAACACACAGAUUUAGUAAGAUUUUGAUAAGUUUGAUGGGAAAAGCAGGGUGGGAUUUGGAUUUGGCUGCUAAUUUGGUUCAUCCUGAUGUUGGUUAUGUGAAAAAGGCUCAUAAUCGAUAUGCGUUUUUGUCAUAUGUUUGUUUGGGAAUGUUCAAAGGUUUUGAUUCGAAAGAUUUUGGUUUAGUUGGGGAUGAGGUUUUGUGUAAUGGGCAUGGUUCGGAAUUGGAUAAGAACAAUGUUCCUCUGAAGCAGUUGCUUGAGCAUGUUUCGAGCAAUCCGAUGGAGUUGUUGAGUAGGAACCAGAAUUGUAAGUUUUCGAGAUUUUGUGAGAGCAAGUAUCAAGAGAUCAUUCACCCCACUAUGGAAUCUUCAAUGUUCAGUAAUUUUGAUCGGAAUGCAGUUGUGUUGAGUAAAUGGAGGUCGUUGAGCGUAUUCUAUGAAUCAUUUGUUAACAUGGCUAGCUCGAUAUGGACGUUACACAAGUUGGCCUAUUGCUUCGAUCCUGUGGUGGAGAUAUUCCAAGUGGAAAGAGAUGCAGAUUUUUCUAUGGUAUAUAUGGAAGAUGUCACUAGGAGAUUGUCAUUGCCUAGUAAAACCAGGGAAAAAGUUGGCUUCACAGUGGUUCCGGGUUUUAAACUUGGAAGGACAAUAAUUCAGUCUCAGGUUUACCUAAGUGGCUUGAAAUGUACAGAGUAGUGGCAAGUUAUUGUUCCACUGUUAAGAUGUCAUGGCAAUAUCAAGAUCAGGCGCACUGUUGAUGUUUUGAUCUGAGAAGCUUGGAGUUCAAAUUAGAGGAAUCAGUUAUUGUGCUCACUAAGGAAACUCUUUGAAGAUGUUUGACUUCUAUAUAUGCUGCUCCCGCAGUAACUAUGCCAUUGCCAUAUAAAAGCUUUCUUGUGAUACAUGCUACCUGAAAUACAUGCUUGAUCUGGUUUCCCUGAAAGCGGCCUCUUUUGGGUACUUCUGUAAUGUGAAAUGUGAAUGUUAGGAUGAUUCUGUCUUGGACAAAGUCCCAAUUUCAUCUUUUAAGUAGGUGUAGUGCUAGUACAUUGAUGUAAAAUGCCACACCUAAAACCUUUGUGUUCUCUUCUGUUGUCUGUUUGCUGAUGAAGUACUUACCUGUCUAAACAUAUAUACUUAUUUAGGCGCACUGCUUAUAGUUUCAAUCUUGCAUUCCCUCUUUUUUGUUCUUUCUUUAGCCCUUUGGGGCUUAUAGUCUUUGAUUGCUGACUAGUGACUAUUGUUUAUCUGCACUCAUUCGGACAAGAGGCGCAGAUAGGUGCUUAUGUUUGUCUCUUUUUAUUGAUUUUAAAUUAUGGUCAAGCCUUAGAAAGCUGGUUCCUGCCUAGACAAUCUCUAUUGGAUAUGAUCAUUCUGAUUAUAAAGCUCCAAUUAUUUAAAAGUAGUAAUGGGUGGUGACCUAAUUCCCCAAUCCCUACUCUUGUUGUCUGGUCCCAGCUGACUCCAGACUAACCACUUCACUGGGAUAAUGCAUGUAUUAAACGAACCAGAUGAAGCAAUAUGUGAAUGCUUCUAAGUAUGAAACGACUAUUAUAGGGCAAUUUGUGUAAUUAAAUCCUGAUUCUAUAACACUUUCCACAAUUUCUAUAAUUCUUGAUAUCUUUCCCUAGUUGGGUAAUUUGUGCAUGUCUCACAGACUUACGUCACCUAAAGUUGUCUACAUGUAUGACUUGAAAUCAAAUGAUGAACUUGAUUUUGUGAUUUUUUUAUUUAUUUAUUUAUUUUUUUAUGAAGUCA
RNA transcript from Rosa chinensis, 2841 nucleotides. It is a transcript of the gene named protein GRAVITROPIC IN THE LIGHT 1, with no coding region annotated. The record is from RefSeq and is a predicted model, not a curated record. The transcript is spliced from 2 exons. NCBI's taxonomy places the organism in Eukaryota, Viridiplantae, Streptophyta, Magnoliopsida, Rosales, Rosaceae.